This is a long non-coding RNA of Aphis gossypii (cotton aphid), 436 nucleotides long. RefSeq lists it as uncharacterized. NCBI's taxonomy places the organism in Eukaryota, Metazoa, Arthropoda, Insecta, Hemiptera, Aphididae. The transcript has 2 exons. The record is from RefSeq and is a predicted model, not a curated record.
ACACAACUUUCAAUGUUCCAUCUGAAUGCAACUCUGUACCACCUUCGUGAACUACACAGUUUAUAUUGUUUAUAAGGUCAAGGCAAGCAAAUAUAACAUUAAAUUUACCAUCACUAUCCACAGCCCAUUAUUGAUAGAAUGGUUGAUUGCUACGCUGAUAUCUGUUAGUCAUACUAUAUGAACCAAACAAAAAUAAUCCAGAUAUUCUCCUAGUUCAUGUAAAGUAGUUGGUAGAGGUGGCACAUACUGCCUACAAACUUGAUGCAUUUAUGAUUCUACAGUGGGCCAUGUACACAAUAUAGCUGCAUUUGGAUUUCUACAAAUACAUAAUUAUUAAAUUAUAUUUCAGAUUAACAAAGCUAGUUUAUAUGCACUAUAAUGUAUCUAACUAUAUUUUAAAAAUUGUUGAAAAUAGUAUUAAACUAAAAAUAUACAC